ACAGAUCAUAUUUUUUUAUUUGACAGAUGGGGGAAAGAGCUUAAGAAGAUUAAGUGAUUUAAGUGCGGGAAGUAAGACCCCUUAGUUUUGACGGCCAGAUGUUCUUGGAGCUCCUGCUUCAUCCUCCUCCUGCCUCUGUACAGCUGCUCCCAGGGCACAGGGACAGCUGAAGACUUUGGAGACUGCAGCCCUUUUAAACUGGCUUUCAUCCAUCCACUCCCUGUGCAUUUGGAGGCCUACUGUUUACUUAUUCCCAGCUAAGUUCCUGCCUUUGAUGUCAGAAUUUCAGUGGGGUCCUAGAAAAGAAAACAUAUACAUACAUAAAUGAGGUAAUUGCAGGGUGAUAAUUGCUCUAGGGAACAGAAGUGGUGGUGGGAAGAGUGGAGGGGAGGGUGUAGGUGGGGGCUGCUGUAGACUGAGUGGUCAGGGAAGCUGUUUGGAGAUUAAAAUGAAAUCGAGGGAACAGCCUUCCAGGUAGAGAGCUGGGAAAGCGCAGACUGGCCCCUGCGGCAGAUGCUGGAGGAACAUGCCUAGGAAUGGAUGGAGGCCAAAGGGAGGAGAGCCCAGUGAGCCAGGGAGCCUGUAGGAGGUUCUGAGGAGGGCACUGGAAGCAACUGCAACCUUUGGAGAGUGGUUUGCACUGGAGGAGUGCUAAGAGCAGGGAGGAUGGGGAUCUUAGGCUAUCGGCUUCUGAGAUACUCCAUUUUUUUAUGUUGGAAUUAUUAUGAAAAUUAAAUAAGUUUAUAAGGAUGGAGGGGUUUUUUUCUUGAGUUUACCCAGAAAAAUCAUUCUCAUUAGUUCAUUAUCUGAUUUCAAUGAUUUAGAAAGUUAAUGAACACAUGUACAGACUGACCUGCUUGGAGAGCUGCAAUGAGAACAAACGUGGCUUUGCCGUCUGGCCAGGCAAUCGAUGCCUCCUGCCUGUCCCUGGCCGCCCCGCACCCACCUCUUACAGAUGUUACCUGUCUCCUGUUAAUUCUCCCGUGUCACUCUCCACUUCCCCGGUGGGGGUGGGGGGGGGGCGGUCAA
This 1029-nucleotide long non-coding RNA is filed under the name Homo sapiens (human). Its description in RNAcentral is "HSALNT0183741". Lineage: Eukaryota; Metazoa; Chordata; Mammalia; Primates; Hominidae. The record is from RNAcentral.